GGGAAGGUGGCUCAGUGGUAGAGUGCUUGUCUUGCAUGCAUGAGUUUCUGGGUUUAAUUCCUCAGCACCCCA
Non-coding RNA from Dipodomys ordii (Ord's kangaroo rat), 72 nucleotides. The record is from Rfam. Lineage: Eukaryota; Metazoa; Chordata; Mammalia; Rodentia; Heteromyidae.